Thamnophis elegans (Western terrestrial garter snake) is the source of this 2536-nucleotide long non-coding RNA. RefSeq lists it as uncharacterized. Lineage: Eukaryota; Metazoa; Chordata; Lepidosauria; Squamata; Natricidae. The transcript has 2 exons. The record is from RefSeq and is a predicted model, not a curated record.
CUUCCUUCCUGCUUUUCCUUCCUUCCUUUUUCCUUCUUUCCUCCCUUCCUUUCCCUCCCCACUUCCCUCUCUUAGUAUCCUUACAUGCAUGUUGCUAGCACACACCUCCCUGGGAGGAGGUGUUGCUCUUUUGAGGCCUUGUUUGGGGGGUGGGGGUGGGGAAAGGGUCCUCGCCCUUGACCUGGGAGGGACUGGAAGCCCCUUCCCACCUUCCGAUCCCCUCCCAAGCAACCCAUUCGCUUUGCCCCAGCCACUUGCCUUGGGCUCCCAGGAAGGAAGAAGGCUGCCCUCUUGGCAAGGGAGGUAACCCUGACCACCACCACCCCUUCCUCGCCAUCUGCACCUUCGACGCCUCUCCGGAGGAGCCAGGCAUCGUGCCCAUGCCUCCGGUACCCCUCCCCCCAAGUCAGAAAGUUCUUAGGGAAGACGGCACCUGACAGCUGCUGCCCUGCUUGCCACCUCUUGCCAACUCUACCAGGGACUCCCGGAUCUCUGGGGAAGGAAAGGAUAUCAAAAAAAUUCUUCAGCCUGCCCCCCGCCCCCGCCAAAUGCUCCGGCCCUCUCAUCACCCUGAGGACCAACCAAGGGGUCUGUGAGAGAACAGAGCAAUGGGGGCCUCAGCCUAAGCCCAGCUUCUUCCCCAUCGGAGGCCCCUUUCCCCCAUUCCAGCCCCCGUCCUGACAUUGAAGAAAUAGGAGACUUGAGUUCAGAGGGGUGUUUGAAAUGCCCCUGGGGGAAUAGGGCGAGGGUCAAGAAUCAUGUCUUUCCUCCGAUCGGCCUCCCCUUGGGGGUGUGGGCUCAGCUCCAGGGAUGGCCUAAGCCAAGUUGGAGAAGGGAUAAGCCAGAGAGGAGGUAGGCAGCUUCUCAGCAUCAUCCUUCCCACCCCGUCCUUCUGAACAUGGCUUCAAGUAGUGGGAAAGGAUAUGGAGAACCCAAUCUGGGUCUGGUUAAGCUAACUAAGGAGAUGGGAAAGGGCUGCCUUGCAGGUUUGUGGGAGCAGAAGCAUCCCAUCCUUGGAGGUGGGGGAAUCUCCCUUGAGCUUGAGCUGGGGUGGGGGGAGUUCAGGUGAUUGCUGGGAGAAGGAGGAGGAGGAAGCUUAACAAGCAUGGUGCAGGAACCUGGAACAUUUUAAGACUGACCUAAGAAAUAGACCAACCUAUCCUGAGCCCACUCUACGCGAUAUUGUCUUUUUUUCCACCCCCCAGGUCUGCUUUGGCUCUUGAUACUUUGAGAUGUGCUCCCCCCCCCUUCCCCCCAAAUCUUGUGGCUGUCCAUUGCAAAUGGCCAUGUCUCUUUGGAGGCGUUGGGGGUGCCUUCACCUGUGUACAAAAGCUGCCCGCUCUCUAUCCAGUUCCUGUCUCCUAGCCCAGCUUUCCCAAAUGGGGCCCCCACCCAAACGUGUGGGUUUCAAUUGAAACCCCCCCUGCGCUGCCCUCUCCCGGCCUCUACUGAACAGCCUAAGACAGUGGUGGCGAAGCUUUUCGGUGCGGAGCACCCGUGUGAAAAUAUCAUGUGCGCACCCAUGUGCUCUCCCCGGGGCUGCACUCCAGAAAAGCCGAACUUUCCGGGCUCUUAUGCACAUGCAGCCCCGACAAUCAGCUGGCUGGUGCAAAUGUGCAUGCCGGUUUUCGGCACUGCUGUACAUGCGAAAGGUUUGUGGUCCGGAAAAGCUGAAUUUCUGAGUUCUGGCGUGCAUGCACCCCCAACAAUCAGCUGGCUGGCCUGCAUGCGCACACCAGUUUUCGUCACUGCUGUGUACGUGAGGGACAGCUGAUCGUUGUGCACGCAUACACACCAGAAACCCAGAAGAUAAAGAGGCAAGAGCAUGUGUGCCAGGCGACAUGACUUUAAGUGCCACUUUGGCUACGCAUGCCAUAGGUUAGCCAUCACGAGUUGCUUCCCAGGCUUUGCAGGACAAACCCUGUUUCCCCCACCCCUAUUUGCUCCGCGUGGUGCCCCCUUUGCUCACUGCCUUGGGGGAGGGGGGCUGGAUAGCCUCAGCUCAGAGUCCAGAAUUCAAACGGUAUUAACUGAGACCAGUUGGAAGCGUGUCUGGUUUUGCUAGCUGAUGGGGAAGGGGGGUGUUUGUGUUGGUGAAAGCGGGGAGGAGCAGGUUUCCAAUAUUUACCCAAACUGCCCAGCAGCUAAGAGGACCGGCUCCCCUCUUCACUACUUUGGCUGUGUUGCAAAUCAUGGCCUUAGCCACUGGCUGGGAAAAGCAUUCAGCGUUUUUUUUUUUUUUAAUAUGUAGGCAAAUGAAUUUAUUUAAAAGAAACACUCUCUUCUGUUUCCUUAAAAUACGUAUGUACCUCUGUCGGCUUCUCCUGGUUGCCCCUCUACAGUAACUAAACCAAAUUGGAGGCAGAAGUGCCCCUCUUCUCCCCGCCCCACCCCUCUCUGCUCCCUCUCCCACCAUCCUUUCCCCAUGAGAUCCACCUGUCUGGGCUGCAAUGUACAAUAAUUUAACACAGUUGCCUGUAUUUUUAUUUUGUAAAUUCAUUAUACUAAUAAUUAUAAAUUAACCGCCAGUGGCUUG